Molecule: long non-coding RNA, 385 nt
Organism: Gallus gallus (chicken)
Lineage: Eukaryota; Metazoa; Chordata; Aves; Galliformes; Phasianidae
Source: Ensembl
AAUGUUAAGGUAAACCAGCUAUGUUAAAAGGCUAUUUCUUCUCUUCCCUUUCGAAUAAAAAUAAGCAUUAUCUUGAAAAUAAAGGAGACCAGCACCAGGGAAGAAUCAGCUGGGGAGGGUAUAGAUGGAUUAGGUUCUGUCUUGGAUAUGAAGAGGACAAGCAGAUUCCAUAAAGCAGCGGGUAGCAGUUACUCCGGAUGCCGUCCUCCAGAAGUGAACCUGGGCAUCGAAGGAUUUCUGACCCAGGGGAGGCCUUGCAGGCCUGACCAAUAAACCAACUGUGCACUGCCUGGUAAGGCACUAUCUGUGUAAUUAUUUUCUUCUGACUUUCUUCUCACCUCAUGAAAUACUCCUCUGAUGACUACUCCUGGAUUCUCCUUAAGAA